GCCAGGGUAGCGAAAAGGGAUUAGAUACCCCCUGUAGUCCUGGCAGUAAACGGUGUGCGCUUGGUGUGGGAGGAUUCGACCCCUUCCGUGCCGGAGCUAACGCGUUAAGCGCACCGCCUGGGAAGUACGGCCGCAAGGCUAAAACUCAAAGAAAUUGACGGGGGCCCGCACAAGCAGUGGAGCAUGUGGUUUAAUUCGAAGCAACGCGCAGAACCUUACCAGGGCUAGAAAAACUGAGAAUCCUGACGAAACUCGGGAGUGCUCGCAAGAGAACUCAGGUCCAGGUGCUGCAUGGCUGUCGUCAGCUCGUGUCGUGAGAUGUUGGGUUAAGUCCCGCAACGAGCGCAACCCUUGUCCUUAGUUGCCAUCAUUUAGUUGGGCACUCAAAGGAGACUGCCGGGGUCAACCCGGAGGAAGGUGGGGAUGACGUCAAGUCCUCAUGGCCCUUAUGUCCUGGGCUACACACGUGCUACAAUGGUCGGUACAAAGCGCUGCGAAGCCGCAAGGUGGAGCGAAUCGCAAAAAGCCGGCCUCAGUACGGAUUGCACUCUGCAACUCGAGUGCAUGAAGUCGGAAUUGCUAGUAAUCGCUGAUCAGCAGGCAGCGGUGAAUACGUUCCCGGGCCUUGUACACACCGCCCGUCACACCAUGGGAGUCGAGUGCUCCAGAAGUGGCCGCGCUAACCCGCAAGGGAGGCAGGUCCCCAAGGAGUGUUUGUAA
This 720-nucleotide ribosomal RNA is filed under the name uncultured bacterium. RNAcentral's name for it is "bacterial SSU rRNA". It matches the Rfam family "Bacterial small subunit ribosomal RNA", at positions 759 to 1474 of the family's 1533-position model. The record is from RNAcentral.